CUCAAGGGGCUUACACUCUGGGAAGAUAGGUAACAUUGAAUAAAUGGCAAGAAACCAAUAUGUGAUUACAGAUCAUUGAUAAGUGCUGCAAAGGAAAACAAGAGGACUCUAUGAAGGAGAAUUACCAGGUAGAGGCUGCCUACUUUAGAUAGUGGUCAGGGAUGGUUUCUCUGAGAAGAGACAUUUAAGCUAGAACCUGAAGGAUGACAUAAAGCAGAGUCCAAUGUGAGUCAGGCAUCUCUCCUGGUGGCUGUCUUCCAUGUGGUGACUUAUGUAUCCAGGAUCCUUCUACUGUGUUUCUCCUCCAUUGCGAAGUCCUUCACUUCCAGCACCUGAGACAUUUUUUGGGUAUAUCUACAAGUGGCAUAUAUCACUUCUGCCCACAUUCACCUGGGUAGAACUCAAUCACAUUGUUUCACCUAACUGCAAGUGAGGCUGUGGAAUAUAGUCUCCCUAUGUGCCCAAGCAGAAGAAACAGGAUUGUGUGACUCUACAAUGUGUGAUUGCUCCUGGUGAAUCAAAAGGAUAAAGCUGCUGAUUCUGCAAUUUGAUAACCCAACCAUGCUGACCUCAAAGUGUAGUCAAUCCAUGAAGUUCCUCCCACCACAGCUCAUCCUGAACACUGCCCACCUGAGUCAUCAAGAAAGGUUUAAGUACAUUAUCUGUGCUCUGUUUAAUAUGUCCGUGAAGUGUGUCCUAAAUUUAGUUAUUUCUAGGACCUCUUUCUAGUUUGCAAGUAAGCCAGGUUCUACUGCUGUCAAGUGUUACUCAUGGCUAACUGAGGAAAAGGGGUUCAAAAACAUUGAGAAGACGAAAAGGAGGGAGAAGGCUGGGUUAAUGGGGACGGAGGUAAGGGGUGAGACCCCGGCUAAACAGUGAAGAUAAAAACAGACAUGUAAAUGAGAGAACCGGAAGAGAAGGUAAUGGUGAAAGUCAAUACGGGAAGGAAAGGGGUUGUAGGGGACAAACACUGAGAGGGCAAGAACUUGGAGUAGGUGAAACUAAGGUGAGCGAGGAGGCUGAAGAGAGGUCAGCUGCAGCGGGAAAGAGGGAAGGGCCCUUUAAGAGACACAUCAAGCCGCAGGUGUGGGCCACGAGGCUGGCGCAGGGCUGUCGCUUCACGCGCCGCAGACUCAUCCAGAAGCGCCUUGGGAGCUGCGGAGCCCUAGAGCCUCCAUCCGGGCAGCAAAGCAGCUCACGUGUCCCACCCGGGAAGGGCAGGAGUGGGCGAGGAAUGGUGGAGGGAAAGGAGGGAAAGCGGAGAAACAGGAGGGAGGGGGAAAGCUGCCGCUGCAGAAAAGAAACGAGUAAGCCCCUUUGUGCUUGGCCUGCGAGGUGUUUCCUUCCCGAGCAGACUUGAAGCUGUCACCUCUCAGUCUGGGUUUGGAAUAAAUACACUCGCCCACCGAGAGAUGAGGCGGCGCCUGGCCGCACCUGGGAGGUACCUGGUCGCACCUGGAAGUGCCUGGUCUCCCCUGGCAGGUACCUGGCC
Molecule: long non-coding RNA, 1492 nt
Filed under: Homo sapiens (human)
Lineage: Eukaryota; Metazoa; Chordata; Mammalia; Primates; Hominidae
Description: HSALNT0343800
Source: RNAcentral